RNAcentral lists this unclassified non-coding RNA (287 nucleotides) under Hevea brasiliensis (rubber tree). The record is from RNAcentral. Lineage: Eukaryota; Viridiplantae; Streptophyta; Magnoliopsida; Malpighiales; Euphorbiaceae.
GUCAGACUCUCAGACUUUCAGCUAUCUGAUAAGCAACUGCACGAAUGAGGAUGACAUAUCUAAGUUUCUCGAUGAGAUGAAAGAUUCUGGAGUUCAACUCACAAAGCAUGUAUAUAUGGCCCUAAUAAAUGGAUAUGCAGCUUCUGGACAGUUUGAAAAGGCUAAACAGGUAAUCUGUGAUCAAGGAGUAUCUGCAAAGGGUUUCAAUGAAAUUAGAAGUGUGCUUAUUUCAGCUCUUGCUUCACAUGGGAAAAUAUCAGAUGCCCUUGAUAUAUAUAAGGAAAUGG